UUUUAAAUGAUUUGAGAUGGCCUCUCGCCCUAUUCAGUGUAACAGCUGUGGUAGUGGGUUUGGUCGCUCGCAUUUAAAUUGGAAGGGUAAUGGUGGACCGCACUUCUCCCUUAGUAGGACGUUGCGACCUGUCAAAUAAUAUCCUAAGUAUUUGGCUAAUUUGUCUGUUUUUAGGCAGUACUGAAAGGUAUUUCCUUUAACAGUUUUAGCCGUUUAGAUACUGGAUAUAAUUGACAGUAACGAAUCAUGGUGUUGAGCCACUUACUUUGUAAGUGUCCUUUAUGGCUGUUUGCAAGUGGGUUGGUUAAUUAGUUUUAGUCGGAUUUCGGUCCGUCUAACUAUUCCGCCUACUGUUGGUAAACUGUUCCUUGGACAGUGCUUAUAACACCGGUCGGCAGCGAUUCAGGUUCAGGCUCUUAUCCGACCCGUCUUGAAACACGGACCAAGGAGUUUAGCGUGUACGCAAGUCAUUGGGUGUAUAAAACCCAAAGGCGCAAUG
RNAcentral lists this ribosomal RNA (499 nucleotides) under Triatoma delpontei. RNAcentral's name for it is "eukaryotic LSU rRNA". It matches the Rfam family "Eukaryotic large subunit ribosomal RNA", at positions 444 to 721 of the family's 3401-position model. The record is from RNAcentral. Lineage: Eukaryota; Metazoa; Arthropoda; Insecta; Hemiptera; Reduviidae.